RNAcentral lists this ribosomal RNA (437 nucleotides) under Wolbachia endosymbiont of Aphis gossypii. RNAcentral's name for it is "bacterial SSU rRNA". It matches the Rfam family "Bacterial small subunit ribosomal RNA", at positions 992 to 1428 of the family's 1533-position model. Lineage: Bacteria; Pseudomonadati; Pseudomonadota; Alphaproteobacteria; Rickettsiales; Anaplasmataceae. The record is from RNAcentral.
CAUACCUAUUCGAAGGGAUAGGGUCGAUUUGGCCGGAUUUCACACAGGUGUUGCAUGGCUGUCGUCAGCUCGUGUCGUGAGAUGUUGGGUUAAGUCCCGCAACGAGCGCAACCCUCAUCCUUAGUUACCAUCAGGUUAUGCUGGGGACUUUAAGGAAACUGCCAGUGAUAAACUGGAGGAAGGUGGGGAUGAUGUCAAGUCAUCAUGGCCCUUAUGGAGUGGGCUACACACGUGCUACAAUGGUGAUUACAAUGGGCUGCAAGGUCGCAAGGCUGAGCUAAUCCUAAAAAAUCAUCUCAGUUCGGAUUGUUCUCUGCAACUCGAGAGCAUGAAGUUGGAAUCGCUAGUAAUCGUGGAUCAGCAUGCCACGGUGAAUACGUUCUCGGGUCUUGUACACACUGCCCGUCACGCCAUGGGAAUUGGUUUCACUCGAAGCU